ACGGGUGAGUAAUGUCUGGGAAACUGCCUGAUGGAGGGGGAUAACUACUGGAGACGGUAGCUAAUACCGCAUAACGUCGCAAGACCAAAGAGGGGGACCUUCGGGCCUCUUGCCAUCGGAUGUGCCCAGAUGGGAUUAGCUAGUAGGUGGGGUAACGGCUCACCUAGGCGACGAUCCCUAGCUGGUCUGAGAGGAUGACCAGCCACACUGGAACUGAGACACGGUCCAGACUCCUACGGGAGGCAGCAUG
This 250-nucleotide ribosomal RNA is filed under the name uncultured bacterium. RNAcentral's name for it is "partial 16S ribosomal RNA". It matches the Rfam family "Bacterial small subunit ribosomal RNA", at positions 102 to 353 of the family's 1533-position model. The record is from RNAcentral.